AACGUUUGCCUUUUGCUCCACUUGAUGCGAUGACUGUUCCCAUAGAUGCAGCCAUUCCCAUAACAAUGGUUUGGACAUCUGCCUUGAUAAAGUUCAUGGUAUCUACGAUUGCCAAACCAGCUGAAACAGAACCACCUGGUGUAUUGACAUAAAGGUAAAUAUCUUUUGUACUAUCUUGGGCAUCCAAGAAAAGCAGUUGGGCAAUAACAGAGUUAGCCAUAUUGUCUUCAACCGGACCUGUCAGCAUAAUGAUGCGGUCUUUGAGAAGACGUGAGUAAAUAUCGUAAGAACGUUCUCCACGGCUUGUUUGUUCAAUAACUACAGGAAUCAUUCAUUUCUCCUUUUGAGUUUUAAUUUUGUUGGUCAAAUGACUGAAGAUAAGACUAUUAUAAUAUCUUGGUCAAAAAAGGUCAAAUUUUUGCUCUGCUUUCAUUAGACAGAAACAAAAACCCAACCUCCUUUCGUGACUAGAAAUACUUUUCCAAGUCAUUCUUCUUUUCGAUCUUAUUUUGUACCGAACAAGCGGUCUCCAGCAUCUCCAAGACCUGGAACGAUAUAACCGUGUUCGUUCAAACGUUCAUCCAAGGCUGCUGUAAAGAUUUCUACAUCUGGAUGAGCUUCUUGAAGGGCUUUUACACCCUCUGGAGCAGAUACAAGGCAGACAAAUUUGAUAUUUGAUGCGCCACGUUUUUUAAGAGAAUCAACAGCCAAGAUUGCUGAGCCACCUGUUGCCAACAUUGGGUCUACUACAAAAAUUUGACGUUGGUCAAUGUCCUCAGGCAAUUUCACCAAGUAUUCAACUGGUUGAAGUGUUUCUUCAUCACGGUACAUACCGAUGUGGCCAACUUUAGCAGCUGGAACCAAGCUCAAGAGACCAUCAACCAUCCCGAUACCUGCACGCAAGAUUGGGACGAUGGCCAAUUUCUUACCUGCCAAUUGUUUUUGAACUGUUUUUGUAAUUGGUGUUUCGAUUUCCACAUCUUCUAGUGGAAGAUCACGAAGUACUUCAUACCCCAUCAACAUUGCAAUCUCAUCUACUAGCUCACGAAAAGCUUUUGUAGAAGUAUCUGUACGACGCAAGAUUGACAAUUUGUGUUGAAUCAGUGGGUGAUUAAUAACUUCAAUUUUUCCCAUUUUUGGAAUUCCUUCUUUCAAUUUAUUCUUCUUAUUAUACCAAAAAACGGUUUAAAAAUCUUUCUAAACCAUUUAUUUUUGAUAAUUUUUACAUUAGAUCAGCCUCUUUAAGAGCUGUCUGUACUGUCUCAAGUGGUAAAUGGGUCAAUUCUGUCCCUUUUUCUUGAUAAAGGUAUUGGGCGUAGUCGUCCAUUCGGUACUGGUUGAUAUAAACCACGCGCUUGCAGCCGACCUGAAGCAAUUGUUUUGUACAGUUGAGACAAGGAAAAUGGGUUACAUAGGCUGUAAAGCCUUUGGGAACACCACGCUCAGCACCUUGAAGGAUAGCAUUGACCUCAGCGUGAAGGGUGCGAACACAGUGGCCUUCAAUGACCAAACAUUCGUGAUCAAUACAAUGCUCAGUCCCUGACACCGAACCAUUGUAACCAGUGGAAAUAACCUUAUUAUCUUUUACCAGAAUCGCGCCCACUUUAGCACGUUUACAAGUGGAACGAUUCGCAAUUAGUAGAGCUUGGGCUGCAAAAUACUCAUCCCAGGCCAGUCUUUUUUCAGUCAUCUCUUUUCUCCUUUUUCUCUAUUUUUUAAAAAAUNGGAAACUGUUUAACUUGAGUGCAAGAGGGGAGAGUGGAAUUCCAUGUGUAGCGGUGAAAUGCGUAGAUAUAUGGAGGAACACCGGUGGCGAAAGCGGCUCUCUGGCUUGUAACUGACGCUGAGGCUCGAAAGCGUGGGGAGCAAACAGGAUUAGAUACCCUGGUAGUCCACGCUGUAAACGAUGAGUGCUAGGUGUUAGACCCUUUCCGGGGUUUAGUGCCGUAGCUAACGCAUUAAGCACUCCGCCUGGGGAGUACGACCGCAAGGUUGAAACUCAAAGGAAUUGACGGGGGCCCGCACAAGCGGUGGAGCAUGUGGUUUAAUUCGAAGCAACGCGAAGAACCUUACCAGGUCUUGACAUCCCUCUGACCGCUCUAGAGAUAGAGUUUUCCUUCGGGACAGAGGUGACAGGUGGUGCAUGGUUGUCGUCAGCUCGUGUCGUGAGAUGUUGGGUUAAGUCCCGCAACGAGCGCAACCCCUAUUGUUAGUUGCCAUCAUUUAGUUGGGCACUCUAGCGAGACUGCCGGUAAUAAACCGGAGGAAGGUGGGGAUGACGUCAAAUCAUCAUGCCCCUUAUGACCUGGGCUACACACGUGCUACAAUGGCUGGUACAACGAGUCGCAAGCCGGUGACGGCAAGCUAAUCUCUUAAAGCCAGUCUCAGUUCGGAUUGUAGGCUGCAACUCGCCUACAUGAAGUCGGAAUCGCUAGUAAUCGCGGAUCAGCACGCCGCGGUGAAUACGUUCCCGGGCCUUGUACACACCGCCCGUCACACCACGAGAGUUUGUAACACCCGAAGUCGGUGAGGUAACCGUAAGGAGCCAGCCGCCUAAGGUGGGAUAGAUGAUUGGGGUGAAGUCGUAACAAGGUAGCCGUAUCGGAAGGUGCGGCUGGAUCACCU
Molecule: ribosomal RNA, 2625 nt
Filed under: Streptococcus pneumoniae
Lineage: Bacteria; Bacillati; Bacillota; Bacilli; Lactobacillales; Streptococcaceae
Description: bacterial SSU rRNA
Rfam family: Bacterial small subunit ribosomal RNA (bases 1612-2625)
Source: RNAcentral